AAAAAAGUUAUGUCUUUAGAAGGAGGAAAUAAGUAAAUGUUUAAAAGUAAUGAAAAGAAUCUUAUCUGAAAGUACGUGACCACUUUAAUGAAUCAUGACAUGCAUUUGGACUGAACGUUUGAUCCUUCUAAGUUGUCCGAAUCUCAUGAAACAAUGUUGUACCUUUCAGUCUAUAGCCUGACUUCUAUCUUGAUUGUGCUCAUGCCAAGACGGAAUGUCAUCAUUUUGAUCAAUGGUGCCC
RNAcentral lists this long non-coding RNA (241 nucleotides) under Solanum tuberosum (potato). RNAcentral describes it as "long non-coding RNA (STUB_LNC005800)". Lineage: Eukaryota; Viridiplantae; Streptophyta; Magnoliopsida; Solanales; Solanaceae. The record is from RNAcentral.